Long non-coding RNA from Armigeres subalbatus, 1545 nucleotides. RefSeq lists it as uncharacterized. NCBI's taxonomy places the organism in Eukaryota, Metazoa, Arthropoda, Insecta, Diptera, Culicidae. The transcript is spliced from 3 exons. The record is from RefSeq and is a predicted model, not a curated record.
GAUUGUACAAAAAUGUAUAUACCUGUAUUGUAAAACACCUUGAGCUUAAACGUCAAACGAAUCUUACCUCGUUGUUCCGAGGUAAUGAUCAAAUAAAAGAUCGUCCACUUUCAUCUGGACUAGCAGCGUAACCACACGUGUUUCUCUUUCAUCAAGUGGCGACGAGGGAAAACCUUGAAAGUGUUAAAUUUGAACAUUAUUUUGUUAAAAUCGAAAUCUUGUUAGUGAGAAAACCUUGGAGCGGUAUUUUUUCCGGAGGCUGCGUGUUUUAUAGUUUUUCUUCCCCAACGGUUGCGGAAAACCACGCCGCGGGCGGUUUAUAUCGAAGGGAGCGGCAAGAAUUAGAGCUUUUUUUUCAACUACUUAGCCAGUCCGAACGCCGAGGACGGUGACAGUGAUUUUUUUUUCAUCGCCGUUAGUUUGCACAGUGAAGAUUUAGUGAACGAAUACUACAAUCGCGGCGGCGAAAAGUUGUUUAAGCAAACCGAAGAUAUUACCAAAAGCCCUAUUGUGAGGCACGCCGAGGCAGGAAAAAACGCCGAGAACAACGAUCAAAAAGUGAUUUUCUGUGCAUCCCAAAGGCUCCCCACUGCGACGGCAGCCAACAAAGCCGGACGACGAGGACGCCAACAAAGCCGGACAACGAGAACGACAACUGCAAUAUAAAGGACACGAAUCGCGGACGCACAAUUUGAUUGCUACGGAAGCCGGAUAAAAUCAACGGAGGCAACUAAUUUCAUCAUCGCCGUCCAGUUUAGUAGCGUCAGAUUGGUAUUCGUCGAAAGGUCGGCAUUUGUGGAAGUUCCUCGGUUGGAAAUCUAAAUCGUAGCUCGAGUAAUUCGGUUUCACGUCGUUUUCCGGACACAGUGUAGGGUAACUGCGACAAUUGUCGGCACGGGCAAAGGCCUAGGCGAGAGCCAAUUGUUUCGUACGGAUAGCAAUUGGAAGCGCUCUCACCAUGGCCCACCGAAAUCAGCUUAGGUGCUACAAGGGGGAAACUCCGCAGCCGAGGCAAAACGUGUGGCUGGGAGUCAGUACGGGUGGUCGAGAUGCUACGGUCGAAGGACGAACUGGAAUUGAAGAACGACACGAAGAGGACACCGAAGAUGUUAACGCUGGAAGCGGCUCUGAUGAUGAACCAUUCAGGGGAUUCCCUAUGGUUCCGGCAAAGGCCAGAAAGCGAAACGCGACUUUGGCGAACUUGCCGAACGUGUAUCCACGGCGAUCGAAGAGGAUCCGAAAGCGAAUCGAGGAUCCAGAUUUCAUUUAUUAGUAGUGAAUAAGUUCGAAGUGAAUUUCAAAAAAGUGAAAUGAUUAUAUGAAUAUUUUCUGAAUGAAUUUUUAUCUGUUUUGUAUAUUUGAUAUUUUCAAGUUCUGAUUUUGUAUAACGUGAAUACUGAUGUAUUAAUUUAAAAGGGGAACAGCUGUUGUGUCACCCACACCAAGAUUGUACAAAAAUGUAUAUACCUGUAUUGUAAAACACCUUGAGCUUAAACGUCAAACGAAUCUUACCUCGUUGUUCCGAGGUAAUGAUCAAAUAAAAGA